GUGCUCACUUUGGCAGCACACAUACUAAAAUUAGAACAAUACAGAGAAAAUUACAAUGACCUCUGCACAAGAAAGACAUGCAAAUUUGUGAAGCAUUCCAUAUUUUG
Small nuclear RNA from Callithrix jacchus (white-tufted-ear marmoset), 107 nucleotides. The record is from Ensembl. Lineage: Eukaryota; Metazoa; Chordata; Mammalia; Primates; Cebidae.